Molecule: ribosomal RNA, 2280 nt
Filed under: Triticum aestivum (bread wheat)
Lineage: Eukaryota; Viridiplantae; Streptophyta; Magnoliopsida; Poales; Poaceae
Description: partial small subunit ribosomal RNA
Source: RNAcentral
AUGGCUCCCGUCGCCGGUCGUCGGCAUCCACGGUCGGAGGAGGAGGCAGAAUUUGCAGCAGCCGUCGCCGCCGGACAGGAUGGCGACGAGGAGCCAUCUGUGGAGGUGGCGUUCGCGGGCCAGCCGCCGCCGCCGUGGUGGCGGCAGGUCACGGCGCGGUCGGUGGCUGUGAGUGCGGUGCUGGGCGCCGUGCUGAGCUUCAUGUCGAUGCGGAUCGGGCUGACGGCCGGCGUCGGCCCGACGUUCAACAUCGUGGCGAGCCUCCUCGGCUUCUUCGUGAUCAAGUCGUGGACGCGGCUGCUGGCCCGCUUCGGCGUCGCCUCCCAGCCCUUCACCAGGCAGGAGAACGUCGUCCUCCAGACCUGCGUCAUCUCCUGCUCCACCCUCUCCUUCUACGGUACCGUACGUCCGCCCGUCCACGCAGCCGCGCACGCACACGGCCAUUUCCACCAGGUUUUUUGCUCAGCCGGCGGCCGUGAUUUGCCAUUUGCAGGUGGUUUCACGACCUACCUACUCGCGAUGACCGAGACGGUGGCCAAGUCCGCCGGCGGGACCGGCACCGGCAAGGACGUGUACACGCUGCACACCGGGAACGUGGUGGCUUUCCUCGGCCUCGUCACCUUCGCCAGCUUGUUCUGCACCCUCCCGCUGCGGAAGGUGAAGUUUCCGACCAAGAGUCACCACCAUUUCCAUGUCUUUGCUAUGAAAAAACUGAGACAUUUCGCCAUUGUUUGGCAGCUCAUGAUACUGGACUACAAACUGAUGUAUCCAUCUGGUUCGGCUAUCGCCGGAAUCGUCAACAGCUUCCAUACACCAGCGGGAGCCGCAACAGCAAAGAAGCAAGUGAUGGCCAUGUCCAAAGCCAUUGUUGGAAGCUUCAUGUGGGCAUCCUUCCAGUGGGUUUACACGGGAGGAAGCGGCUGCGGCUUCCAAGAUUUUCCCAUGUUCGGAUUGAAGGCAUAUAAGCAGAAGUUUUACUUUGAUUUCUCCGCGAGUCUCGUCGGCGUGGGCAUGAUCUGCCCUGUCCUCAUCAACUUCUCCAUGCUUUUCGGGUCUAUCAUUACCUCCUUCAUCCUGUGGCCAACCCUCCAGAGCAAGAAAGGGGACUGGUACAACGAUCCUUCGCCGACAAAUUUCAGGGGAAUCAAUGGAUACAAGGUGCCCAUGGGCAUAUCGAUGGUGCUUGGGGAUUGUCUGUUCCAACUGGGUUCAAUCACCAUAAGGGCUGCCAACCACUUCCACAAGAAUCGCCAGCAACGGAAUCCAGGCAGUACCAACAUACCAGCCGAUGGAAAUUCAGAUAAACAAACAGCUCUUAGCUAUGAUGAGCGUCGGAGGAACAAGAUCUUUCUGAACGAAGGACUGCCGGACUAUGUCUCGGUUGCUGGCUACAUCCUCCUCGCAGCCGUCUCAGCAAUCUUUGUUCCACGUAUCUUCCCACAGAUCCGAUAUUACCAUGUGGCCUUAUUAUACGCUGUCGCUCCCAUCCUGGCAUUCUGCAAUUCAUAUGCUUCUGGACUGUGUGACUGGUCCCUGGCACCCGUCUACGCGAAGCUUGCUAUAUUCCUUGUUGGGGCAUGGGUUGGUGAAGCAUCUGGUGGCGCCAUUGCCGGUCUUGCUGCCUGUGGUGUCAUGUUGAUGAUCAUUGGCAAUGCCGCUGAGCUCAUGCAUGACUUCAAGACAGGAUACCUAACACUCACCUCGCCACUGUCCAUGUUCAUAAGCCAAGCAAUUGGGACUGCACUUGGUUGCUUGAUCAACCCGCUUGUCUUCCUGUCCUUCGAAAAACUUGUCGGCAAAGAGCAUCUGGGGGAAGCUGGAUCGGUAUUCUCGGCUCCCUUGGCCACCGCAUACCGUGGGCUCGCAGUUUUAAGUGUUGAAGGAACCAAGAUACUCCCAAGGCACUCCAUUGAGUUCUGUGUAGCUUUCUUCCUUAUGGCCUUUUGCCUGGAUUGCCUGUCAGCAGUAGCCAAAGCAAAGAAGUGGAAGGCAAGUAACUACAUUCCAAACGCCAUGGCUAUGGCAAUUCCAUUCUUAAUUGCACCGAAUAUUGCAAUAGACAUGGCCUUGGGGAGUCUACUGUUAGUUAUCUGGAAGAAAACAGAUAAGAAAAACGCAAAUAAGCUUGCAGUUGUAGUAGCAUCAGGUUUGAUCUGUGGAGAUGGACUUUGGGCAUUGCCAUCAGCACUACUUUCAAUUUUCCAAAUCGAGCCACCCAUCUGCAUGAAGUUCUUGUCUAGUCAUCAGAUGAAGGUAGUGCGGACUUCCUACCCAAAGUGA